This 20-nucleotide ribosomal RNA is filed under the name Heterococcus ramosissimus. RNAcentral describes it as "partial 5.8S ribosomal RNA". Lineage: Eukaryota; Xanthophyceae; Tribonematales; Heteropediaceae. The record is from RNAcentral.
GCAUGUUUGCCGGAGUGUCU